GGAGGGUUCGCCUAAUGGUAUGGCAGCAGUCUUGAAAACUGCCGUCCUUCGGGACGUGGGGGUUCAAGUCCCUCACCCUCCG
Molecule: transfer RNA, 82 nt
Filed under: Bacteroidota bacterium
Lineage: Bacteria; Pseudomonadati; Bacteroidota
Also listed under: 1 other name
Description: tRNA-Ser
Rfam family: tRNA
About the family: Transfer RNA (tRNA) molecules are approximately 80 nucleotides in length.
Source: RNAcentral